This 361-nucleotide transfer-messenger RNA is filed under the name Lactobacillus corticis. It matches the Rfam family "transfer-messenger RNA". Rfam says of the family: Bacterial tmRNA, also known as 10Sa RNA or SsrA, is named for its dual tRNA and mRNA-like properties. Its role is to liberate the mRNA from a stalled ribosome. The record is from RNAcentral. Lineage: Bacteria; Bacillati; Bacillota; Bacilli; Lactobacillales; Lactobacillaceae.
GGGGAUGUUUUGGGAUUCGACAGGCGUAGAUCCGCAUUGACUGCGGUCCGUAGGUCACGUCUACGUAAAAACGUCACAGUUUUAUAACUGCAAACAAAGAAAAUUCUUACGCAGUAGCUGCUUAGUCAGCCUGUGUUGCCUUUAACCGGAUUACUUGCGUUUGGUUACUGGUAUCAACUUCAGCAAGUUACGUUUAACUACCUCACCUGAAUAGUUGAAAAGAGUUCUUCCAGGUUAGCUUAACCAGUUUAGCCCUGUUAUAUGGCGUUUGGGUUAAGUGAACUGAAAGUAAUAUAACUAUGAUCGUAGAGGUCAGUGACGGGAUGCGUUUGGACAGGGGUUCAAUUCCCCUCAUCUCCAC